This is an RNA transcript of Olea europaea var. sylvestris, 2770 nucleotides long. It is a transcript of the gene named DNA repair protein RAD16-like, with no coding region annotated. The record is from RefSeq and is a predicted model, not a curated record. The transcript is spliced from 16 exons. Lineage: Eukaryota; Viridiplantae; Streptophyta; Magnoliopsida; Lamiales; Oleaceae.
AUGACGAUAUUAAUGCUCUUUUCGAAAAAACGGGGUAGGAGAUGCUACACUCAUCGCGGUUAGAAGAUUUCCGCUCCAACAGUUUUUCAUAAACUAACUUCUUUUUUCCCGCCUACGGUUUGACAUUAGAGAUUUGAAUCCGCAACCAAUUUUCUUGCCCUUUCCCCCUUUUCUACACUACACUUGGAUUGAAGAAGAAAACCCCUUAUUGGAUCGACGAAGAAACCCUUAACAUUCUUAACAAUGAAGAGGCUACGGUGGCAAGAAUGGGAAUCUGAUAUAAAGAAGUGGAUAGCAGAACAUUCGGAAAAUGAUAUUGAUUUGAAUAAUCAUAAUGACAGCAUUAGUGAAACUAUAGAGCCUUCAUCAGAUUUGAUAGUUCCCCUGCUGAGGUUCCAGAAAGAGUGGUUAGCCUGGUCUCUAAGGCAAGAAGAAAGUGUUCAUCGAGGGGGCAUUCUUGCAGAUGAAAUGGGGAUGGGCAAAACUGUCCAGGCAAUAUCCCUUGUUCUUAAGAAACGAGCGAUUCGUCGGCAUGAAUUACAGACAUCUUCGACCACAUUACCCUCAUCUUCAACCACAUUGCCCAAGGUUUGUCCAAUGAUUAGCACCACUCUUGUUAUAUGUCCCUUGGCGGUUUGUAAACAGUGGGUAAGUGAGAUUGACAGUUGCACUUCGGAAGGAAGCACGAGGGCGCUUCUUUAUGAGGGAACCGACAGAAAAAAGAAAGUUUAUCAAUUUUCCGACUAUGAUUUUGUUAUUACCGCAUAUACGACUCUUGAGGUUGAUUACAGGUAUUUGAUCCUACCGAAAACAUCUGGCGAGAAUGAAAAGGGACAUGAUUGUUCUAUAUUGCAUUCUGUACAAUGGGAUCGUAUCAUUUUAGAUGAGGCUCAUUAUAUAAAGAAUGAUCGUAGUAACACGGCCAGAGCUGUUUUUGAUUUACAAUCUUCAUAUAAAUGGGCUUUGAGUGGCACACCCUUCCAGAAUUCUGUUAAAGAUCUUCACUCACUUGUCCGCUUUCUGCAGAUGCAUCCUUACUGUUAUUACUUAUGCAGGAGUUGUGAUUGCAGUUCACUAGAUUAUAGUGCUCCAACAAAAUGUCCACACUGCCCUCAUGUAUUUCGGCACUUUAGCUGGUGGAACAAAUAUAUUUCUACACCAGUAGAAAAACAUGGAAAUACUGGGACUGGUAGGGAUUCUAUGAUUCUGUUGAAACACAGAAUUUUGAAACGCAUAAUGUUGAGACGUACCAAAGAAGGGAGGUCAGCUGAAUUGCGAAUUCAUCCUAAAACUGUUAUUGAAAGAUGGCUAAUAUUGGAUGAAACUGAAGAACUUUAUUAUAAAAUGGCAUACAAGGAGUGCCUAACACUAUUAAAUAGAGAUGUUGAGGCUGGAACACCGAUGAAUGAUAUCCUAUUCAAUUACGUAUUUGAUCUUGUAUUGCACCUACGGAAGGUAGCCGACCACCCUUACUUUCAGAUUUUUGCAACUGAAGAAAAGGGUACUGAACAAUGUGGCUUGUGUGACGACCCCGUAGAAGGUCUUCGCGUGAUAUCAUGUGUACACAUCUUCUGCAAAUCUUGUUUGUCUUCACUGCCUUCCAGUUCCUGCCCUUUGUGUUCAAAACCACUUACUGUUGAUUUCACUGGCAAGAAGAAAAGCGAAGCAAAGUCAAGUAUUUUGGAUAGAAUUAAAAUUGAAAAUUUUCAGUCAAGCACCAAAAUAGAAGCUUUGAGGGAGGAAAUCAGUGACAUGUUUGAAAGGGAUGGUUCUGCAAAGGGAAUUGUCUUCAGCGAAUUCUCAUCAUUUUUGGAUCUUAUUCAUUUCGCUCUUAAGAGGUCAGGAGUGCUCUGUGUGCAAGUAGAUGGGUAUACGCCCAAACAUGAGAGACCUGCUGCUAUCAAAAAAUUUAAAGAGGAUCCUUCUUGCAGAAUACUCCUUACGACCUUUAAAGUCGGAGGUGUUGGGCUCAAUGUUACCGUGGCAUCAAAUGUUUUCUUGAUGGAGCCUAGCUGGAAUCCUCUGGUCGAGCAGCAAGCUCAAGAUAGAAUACAUCGAAUAGGACAAUACAAACCAACCAGGAUUGUGAGGUUUCUUUUUAAAGCUACAAUUGAGGAAAGGCUUUUGGAGUUACAAGAGAUGAAAAGAAAACUGUUUGAAGGGACUGUGGGUGACUGUUCAGAGAACCCAAGGAAAUCAAGAGAGUCUGACUUGAGAUUCAUACUUCAAUUAUAACUUGGAAAGGGAGUAUGUUCUUGAAACCUAGCUUAAGGUGAUUUGGAAUACAUAUGGAACACACUACGAUGACAAGUAUUGUCAAGAUCCUCUCUUUGAAUCCAGGCAAAUUUGAAGAACUGAUUGAACUGAUCACACGAACGGCUGACUUUUUCAAAGUAAUCAAAAAGGUGCUUUGGAAUACAUAUGGAACACACUAUGAUGACAAGUAUUUUCAAGAUCAUCUCUUUGAAUCCGCCAAAUUUGAAGAACUGAUUGAUCUGUAUGCUUUUCUACAAUUCGAUGGAGGAAUUGUGUGCAAGAUACCAACUGGUCAAGUUAAAUAUCCUUACAUUCGUACAUUGUGUAAUAACUCGAUACUAUUGAACUUUAGUAUGGAAUGCCCACAAAAAUUUCUUCCAAGUUAACAUGAUGCCGCUAGUUCAUGGGAUUGUGCACUUAUAGUAAUUUCUCGAAUUCAAUUCGUAAUUUCUAUGUAAACGAUUUUUAACUAGAUAAGACAAAAAUUGUUGAAUGUAUUUUCUGCUUAGUUACA